This 433-nucleotide ribosomal RNA is filed under the name uncultured bacterium. RNAcentral describes it as "partial 16S ribosomal RNA". It matches the Rfam family "Bacterial small subunit ribosomal RNA", at positions 29 to 507 of the family's 1533-position model. The record is from RNAcentral.
AGCGAACGCUGGCGGCAGGCCUAACACAUGCAAGUCGAACGAACUCUUCGGAGUUAGUGGCGGACGGGUGAGUAACACGUGGGAACGUGCCUUUUGGUUCGGAAUAACUCAGGGAAACUUGUGCUAAUACCGAAUGUGCCCUUCGGGGGAAAGAUUUAUCGCCAUUAGAGCGGCCCGCGUCUGAUUAGCUAGUUGGUGAGGUAACGGCUCACCAAGGCGACGAUCAGUAGCUGGUCUGAGAGGAUGACCAGCCACACUGGGACUGAGACACGGCCCAGACUCCUACGGGAGGCAGCAGUGGGGGAUCUUGCGCAAUGGGCGAAAGCCUGACGCAGCCAUGCCGCGUGAAUGAUGAAGGUCUUAGGAUUGUAAAAUUCUUUCACCGGGGACGAUAAUGACGGUACCCGGAGAAGAAGCCCCGGCUAACUUCGUG